This 235-nucleotide ribosomal RNA is filed under the name Glomeromycetes sp. RNAcentral's name for it is "partial small subunit ribosomal RNA". The stretch from base 89 to 235 matches the Rfam family "Eukaryotic small subunit ribosomal RNA", at positions 738 to 886 of the family's 1831-position model. The record is from RNAcentral. Lineage: Eukaryota; Fungi; Glomeromycota; Glomeromycetes.
GCGCCGUCUUGGCGUCGCUUACGGCGUGUACUGUCUGGCUGGGUCUUACCUCUUGGUGAGCCGGCGUGCCCUUUAUUGGUGUGCGUCGGGGAACCAGGACUUUUACCUUGAGAAAAUUAGAGUGUUCAAAGCAGGCCUAUGCCCGAAUACAUUAGCAUGGAAUAAUAAAAUAGGACGGGCGGUUCUAUUUUGUUGGUUUCUAGAGUCGCCGUAAUGAUUAAUAGGGAUAGUUGGG